Molecule: long non-coding RNA, 256 nt
Filed under: Elaeis guineensis (African oil palm)
Lineage: Eukaryota; Viridiplantae; Streptophyta; Magnoliopsida; Arecales; Arecaceae
Description: long non-coding RNA (EGUI_LNC028302)
Source: RNAcentral
AUAAUUCAAAUCAUUUCUUUGAGCAUUUAAUUUCUUCUUUUACCAUUUUGACCUGAUGUGCCUUGCAUUGUAUAUUGAGGUACAAUCCCUUAAUCCUUUAGAAAUUUUGCUAAUGGUCAUGGCCUUUGUUCCAUCUUGGCAUAUUUACCAUAGUACUCACCAUCUCUGUCGAAUCUGACUAUUUUAGUUAUUUUUUUUGAUUAUCUCUCAAUCUUUAUUUUUAAUUUUUUAAAUCCCUCAUAAUGUCAGUCCUAUC